RNAcentral lists this ribosomal RNA (455 nucleotides) under uncultured bacterium. Its description in RNAcentral is "bacterial SSU rRNA". It matches the Rfam family "Bacterial small subunit ribosomal RNA", at positions 340 to 786 of the family's 1533-position model. The record is from RNAcentral.
UACGGAAGGCAGCAGUGGGGAAUAUUGCACAAUGGGCGCAAGCCUGAUGCAGCCAUGCCGCGUGUAUGAAAAAGGCCUUCGGGUUGUAAAGUACUUUCAGUCGUGAGGAAGGUGUUAAGGUUAAUAACCUUAGCAAUUGACGUUAGCGACAGAAGAAGCACCGGCUAACUCCGUGCCAACAGCCGCGGUAAUACGGAGGGUGCGAGCGUUAAUCGGAAUUACUGGGCGUAAAGGGCACGCAGGCGGUUAAUUAAGUUGGAUGUGAAAUCCCCGGGCUUAACCUGGGAAUGGCAUUCAAGACUGGUUAGCUAGAGUCUUGUAGAGGGGGGUAGAAUUCCAUGUGUAGCGGUGAAAUGCGUAGAGAUGUGGAGGAAUACCGGUGGCGAAGGCGGCCCCCUGGACAAAGACUGACGCUCAUGUGCGAAAGCGUGGGGAGCAAACAGGGAUUAGAUACC